Callorhinus ursinus (northern fur seal) is the source of this 703-nucleotide non-coding RNA. NCBI's taxonomy places the organism in Eukaryota, Metazoa, Chordata, Mammalia, Carnivora, Otariidae. The record is from RefSeq and is a predicted model, not a curated record.
CCGUGGGUCUGCGCAGGCCAGCUUCUGGAGGCCAAGGCGAGGGAGAGGGAAGGGGUUGGAAGGUGGCAGUUAAGGACGAGGUUGUGCCGGGCCUCCCGGGAGCCGGCUUAAAGAGACCUGGCGCGUGGGGCGCCUGGCGGGCUCAGUCGGUGGAGCGUGCCACUCUUGAUCUCGUGGUCGUGAGUUCAAGCCCAGCUUUAGGUGUAGGGAUGACUAAAAAAAAAUAAACUUUAAAAAAAAGAGACCAGGCGCGCACCGCUGUCUUCCGCUGGGAGUGUCCUCGGGAGUAGCUGGACCGGGAAAUGGGGAAAAGAGCUUCCGCCUGUCGAGUUGGUAGACUCUGGCUGUGUCCGCGCGUCCUCACCGACCACGCGGUUCCGGUUCAUUCCGCAAACUCCUGAGAAAAGAGACACCUGUAAGCACUGAUGAAUGUAUAAACUGUUUGAGGAAUGCACACUUUCAGCCUCAUCAUGUCAAAGCACCAAAAUAACAUGCAGUCACCAUUAUGAAAUGCAAAUACUGAGAUGAUUUGGUAUUCUCUCCUCAUUCUGAUAGACUCCACUUUGUGAGAAAAUUCGACAGGGCUCAGAGUGGCUCUGUUCCUUUAGGAAGCUGUGGAAACAGGUCUCCCUAGAAGGAAAUGUAUGUACCUGGUGGAUGUAUUAUGUCAUUUUUGUUGAAGGACAAACUUUUUUCUUACCUG